This 967-nucleotide ribosomal RNA is filed under the name uncultured archaeon. RNAcentral's name for it is "bacterial SSU rRNA". It matches the Rfam family "Archaeal small subunit ribosomal RNA", at positions 1 to 920 of the family's 1478-position model. The record is from RNAcentral.
UUCCGGUUGAUCCUGCCGGAUCCUACUGCUGUCGGGAUAAGACUAAGCCAUGCAAGUCAAGCGUUUCCUAGCUAUGUUGGAAACGCGGCGUACGGCUCCGUGACACGUAGUUAACCUGCCCUUAGGAUGGGGACAACCCCGGGAAACUGGGGCUAAUACCUAAUAUGUGAGAAUGCCUGGAAUGGUUUCUCGCUGAAAAGACAUUUUGAACAUGCUCUUAAUGUUGCCUAAGGAUGGGACUGCGACCGAUCAGGUUGUUGGUGGGGUAAUGGCCUACCAAGCCUAUAACCGGUACGGGCCCUGAGAGGGGUAGCCCGGAGAUGGGAACUGAGACAAGGUCCCAGGCCCUACGGGGCGCAGCAGGCGCGAAACCUCCACAAUACACGAAUGUGUGAUGGGGUUAUCCCGAGUGCCAUCCGCUGAGGACGGCUUUUCUUCAUUGUAUGUAGCUGGAGGAAUAAGAGGGGGGCAAGACUGGUGUCAGCCGCCGCGGUAAUACCAGCCCCUCGAGUGGUAGGGACGAUUAUUUAGCCUAAAGCGUUCGUAGCCGGCUUAACCAGUCCUUCGUGAAAUCCGAUGACUUAAUCGUCGGGCGUGCGAGGGAUACUGUUAGGCUUGGGGACGGGAGAAGUCGACGGUAGUCCCGGUGUAGGGGUGAAAUCCUAUAAUCCCGGGAGGACCACCAGUGGCGAAGGCGGUCGACUAGAACGCGCCCGACGGUGAUGGACGAAAGCUGGGGGAGCGAACCGGAUUAGAUACCCGGGUAGUCCCAGCUGUAAACGAUGCGAGCUAGGUGUUGGGGCAGCCACGAGCUGCCUCCAGUGCCGCAGGGAAGCUCUUAAGCUCGCCGCUUGGAGUACGGUCGCAAGGGCUGAAAUUCAGGAGGUAGAGACCUCUUGUACAGCAGACUUAAAGGAAUGCGGGGAGCACCCACAGGGGUGAGCCUGCGGUUUAAUGGAUCACGCCG